RNAcentral lists this unclassified non-coding RNA (337 nucleotides) under soil metagenome. Its description in RNAcentral is "partial contains 5.8S ribosomal RNA, internal transcribed spacer 2, and large subunit ribosomal RNA". The stretch from base 1 to 120 matches the Rfam family "5.8S ribosomal RNA", at positions 35 to 154 of the family's 154-position model. The record is from RNAcentral.
GAUGAAGAACGCAGCGAAAUGCGAUAAGUAAUGUGAAUUGCAGAAUUCAGUGAAUCAUCGAAUCUUUGAACGCACAUUGCGCCCGCCAGUAUUCUGGCGGGCAUGCCUGUUCGAGCGUCAUUUCAACCAUCAAGCCCCCGGGCUUGUGUUGGGGACCUGCGGCUGCCGCAGGCCCUGAAAAGCAGUGGCGGGCUCGCUGUCACACCGAGCGUAGUAGAUUUUAUCUCGCUCAGGGCGUGCUACGGGUUCCGGCCGUUAAACCACCUUCAUAACCCAAGGUUGACCUCGGAUCAGGUAGGAAGACCCGCUGAACUUAAGCAUAUCAAUAAGCGGAGGA